AGGAAGAUAGAGAAAGAAUGGUGAUUCGAAAGUUUAAGUUUGAGGACCCACGCAUUGAGCAGAUUCAAGAUCUAGAGAGUGAUAUGAUUAGGUACUUCAGAGAGUAUUUAUAUAGGAGACUCUUAAUUGAUAACUUCUUGAGAAAUAAAGAAAUAUGAUUUUAAUGAGAUUAUUACAAUUUGUGCUCUUGGAGUAGCUGCCCGCUGGUAGUUCUGCCCCCUGCACAGCUUCCACGGUUUUGGAGAUUUAAGCGAGACUAUCAAGGUAUCAUAACUUUUUUCUAGGUUUCAUUUGUAUGUUAACUCAGUGCUGUGAAUUUUGAUGAGCUUUCAGAUAACAGAUGAUGCAUUAACGUAUAGUGGUAUUGGCUGUAAUUGGACACUACCACCAUAUGGUUUGCCACUAUUCUUCUUAGUGUGAAAUUCCACUACUUAGUAAUAGCUAUAUGUUUGUUGUAUUUGUUGAAACCUCAGCUCAGACAUCGA
Molecule: non-coding RNA, 485 nt
Organism: Arachis ipaensis
Lineage: Eukaryota; Viridiplantae; Streptophyta; Magnoliopsida; Fabales; Fabaceae
Source: RefSeq, a predicted model, not a curated record